AGUGAACGCUGGCGGUAGGCCUAACACAUGCAAGUCGAACGGCAGCACAGUAAGAGCUUGCUCUUACGGGUGGCGAGUGGCGGACGGGUGAGGAAUACAUCGGAAUCUACUUUUUCGUGGGGGAUAACGUAGGGAAACUUACGCUAAUACCGCAUACGACCUACGGGUGAAAGCAGGGGAUCUUCGGACCUUGCGCGAUUGAAUGAGCCGAUGUCGGAUUAGCUAGUUGGCGGGGUAAAGGCCCACCAAGGCGACGAUCCGUAGCUGGUCUGAGAGGAUGAUCAGCCACACUGGAACUGAGACACGGUCCAGACUCCUACGGGAGGCAGAAGUGGGGAAUAUUAGACAAUGGGCGCAAGCCUGAUCCAGCCAUACCGCGUGGGUGAAGAAGGCGUUCGGGUUGUAAAGCCCUUUUGUUGGGAAAGAAAAGCAGCAGGUUAAUACCCCGCUGUUCUGACGGUACCCAAAGAAUAAGCACCGGCUAACUUCGUG
Molecule: ribosomal RNA, 492 nt
Filed under: uncultured bacterium
Lineage: Bacteria
Description: partial 16S ribosomal RNA
Rfam family: Bacterial small subunit ribosomal RNA
Source: RNAcentral